Long non-coding RNA from Melanaphis sacchari, 968 nucleotides. RefSeq lists it as uncharacterized. The record is from RefSeq and is a predicted model, not a curated record. The transcript has 5 exons. Lineage: Eukaryota; Metazoa; Arthropoda; Insecta; Hemiptera; Aphididae.
AAGGGGAGCUUUAUAGACCCAAAAAAUAAGAAUUCUAAGUAAUUAUGAUAUUACAAACUGCGUUUUUAGUAUGUUAACAUUUCCAACAAGCUUCCAAAUCUGUACGACUAUUGAGAGAGCUAAAGCUAUGUUUUAGUAACCAAGUCCAUAUUAUAAUCGCAGCUCUAGUGCUAUCACAAAGUGUAUCAGAUAUGAUGCUUUACCGAAUUCAGUGCAAGCAUUCUCACAAUCGGUACAAUCCCACCACGAUAAUUCUAUGAUAAUAAAAGUAUCGUUAUAAACGUAUUAUUUUAACGUUAAUACUGCGAUAUGUCAUCAUUUGAACUGUAACACACGUCUCCUGCGCACGCGUAUACAGUGUACGACAACGUUCAUUAUAUUAUUCAGACCACGAAACACAAUCAAAAUGUUCAAAUACGUCUAUCUGAUCGUAUGCGUAUUAUGUCUGUUCUACGUGCUUGCUGCUGUCUAUGUGCUGUUUACCGAUUUAAUAUUGGAUCCGUUGUACGGUUAUUUGUUCGCCAGAAGUUAGGGUAUUUCUAUCGCAAACGCCGACAUAUUCAAACCGUCCAUAUAACGUUCUGUAUUAUUAUUAGAACGUAGGUACCAGACUUGUACUACUCCCGAUGGACGUUACUAUUAUAAUAUCACGACCAAGUAAUAGGUAUUCAUAUCUCAUAUUAUGACCAGAUGGACCGCGCACCAACACAAUGGACAAAGGGACUAUACUGUCACUAUCAUUUAAACUAUUUGUUUAUGGCUUAUUAAUAAAAUCGCUAAAAACCGUUGAGGGCUUCCUAUAUAAUUUUGCAUAUUUAAUGGACUGAAACUAAAUUUGGAAUGAUUCAAAAAGAAGAAAAUCAGCUGGUUAACAAAAAUGGUAUCAAACAGUUAUGCAGUUACAUAUAUGAUAUAUCAAAAUAUGAAAAUUGGUAAUUUAACAUAUAAUUUAUAUUAUUACUUUUAUU